RNAcentral lists this long non-coding RNA (267 nucleotides) under Homo sapiens (human). RNAcentral describes it as "HSALNT0336902". The record is from RNAcentral. Lineage: Eukaryota; Metazoa; Chordata; Mammalia; Primates; Hominidae.
CAAAAUAGUACUCAGCUGGAACAAGUGAAUCAGAUGCUAAAUCUCACCCAAGAAGAAAUAACAGCAACAGUGAAAGUAAAUUUGCCAUUUGGGAGGCCUAGGGUACUGCAGAAGAACGUGGACCACUGUCUCCUUUACCACAGGGAAUAUGUCAGUGGAUUUGGAAAAGCUAUGAGGAUGCCCAUGUGGAGUUCAUACACAGUCCCCCAGUUGAAAGGACCUUCCUGUACCUCCCCUCCAUCCUUCUAAUGGGCUGCCUAUUGCAUA